This 887-nucleotide ribosomal RNA is filed under the name Escherichia coli. RNAcentral describes it as "partial 23S ribosomal RNA". It matches the Rfam family "Bacterial large subunit ribosomal RNA", at positions 296 to 1191 of the family's 2925-position model. Lineage: Bacteria; Pseudomonadati; Pseudomonadota; Gammaproteobacteria; Enterobacterales; Enterobacteriaceae. The record is from RNAcentral.
AGCAGCCCAGAGCCUGAAUCAGUGUGUGUGUUAGUGGAAGCGUCUGGAAAGGCGCGCGAUACAGGGUGACAGCCCCGUACACAAAAAUGCACAUACUGUGAGCUCGAUGAGUAGGGCGGGACACGUGGUAUCCUGUCUGAAUAUGGGGGGACCAUCCUCCAAGGCUAAAUACUCCUGACUGACCGAUAGUGAACCAGUACCGUGAGGGAAAGGCGAAAAGAACCCCGGCGAGGGGAGUGAAAAAGAACCUGAAACCGUGUACGUACAAGCAGUGGGAGCCUCUUUAUGGGGUGACUGCGUACCUUUUGUAUAAUGGGUCAGCGACUUAUAUUCUGUAGCAAGGUUAACCGAAUAGGGGAGCCGAAGGGAAACCGAGUCUUAACUGGGCGUUAAGUUGCAGGGUAUAGACCCGAAACCCGGUGAUCUAGCCAUGGGCAGGUUGAAGGUUGGGUAACACUAACUGGAGGACCGAACCGACUAAUGUUGAAAAAUUAGCGGAUGACUUGUGGCUGGGGGUGAAAGGCCAAUCAAACCGGGAGAUAGCUGGUUCUCCCCGAAAGCUAUUUAGGUAGCGCCUCGUGAAUUCAUCUCCGGGGGUAGAGCACUGUUUCGGCAAGGGGGUCAUCCCGACUUACCAACCCGAUGCAAACUGCGAAUACCGGAGAAUGUUAUCACGGGAGACACACGGCGGGUGCUAACGUCCGUCGUGAAGAGGGAAACAACCCAGACCGCCAGCUAAGGUCCCAAAGUCAUGGUUAAGUGGGAAACGAUGUGGGAAGGCCCAGACAGCCAGGAUGUUGGCUUAGAAGCAGCCAUCAUUUAAAGAAAGCGUAAUAGCUCACUGGUCGAGUCGGCCUGCGCGGAAGAUGUAACGGGGCUAAACCAUG